AUGGAUUACCUGAACAGGAGAUCCACGGCGAGUGAGAUGAAGGAGACCGUUAAUUUUUCAGUGACGAGCGAACUCUGCGGAGGGAUCAGGAUUGGCUUUCCUUUGGAGAGCUCGCCUGUCACCAGGGAUGCUAGAUGGAGAGAGAUCUGGAACUCAUCUGCGGACAACCCCACAAGGAAGCAGAUCCCCCCACAAUUUAGAAAGAUGUUCACGAGUGCGUCAUCUGGUCAGGACAACAGGGACGGUCGGUCUUUGAACGACAUCGGCAAGGAUUAUGGGAGGCAGUUGAGUAUCGAGAGCUGGAAGAAAAAAAUACUACAAAACAAGAAGAAGAUCAAGGAUGCAGAUGUUGUCAAACACGCACAUGCCAUGCAGGCUCGAAUAAUUGGAGUCCAGAGUGAGAUACAAGUUCUUGGCAAACGCCCCAACCAGGAGCAUGGUGUGCAACAGACACCUGCCAAGAGGAGCAUUCUAAGCAGCAGAGACUCCACUAAGCAGAUUGUGCUAGUAACGAGGAAAACUUCAAACGCUGAUUGCCAUAACUUCCACACGCAGGUGUACGAGGAAGGAAGCAAGGGUCCUUCCAAAGGAUCUCCGAUGGCAUUCAAAAUCGUCAGCAAAAUCACCAAUGCACAGAGGUUGUCGCCAAGAUUUGCUGGACAAGAGAGGCAUGGGAAAACAAAGGAUUUGGCGGAGGGGAUAACAGAUGAGAGAAAGAAAUAUCAUAGUUCUCCAUCCAUUUCGAAGGAAACACAACAUUCACAGCAGCAUGUAGCGUACAGCGCCAGCACGGAUUGCAUGGUAGAAGCAGCACAGUCCCUUGGUUGCACGAGUGCCGGAGAAACAGGGAGCAGCAUUGCACAAUGCAACAUUGGAGAGGCAGACUCAUUUAUGGAUUUGGCCGUGCCAUGCAGAAACGACGCUGCUGCAUAUGCUAGAAAGGUUGGCUUUGCUGCCAAGCGAUCAACGAGCAGAAGAUCGACAUAUGAUCAGCAGCUUGACAAGCAGGUGUUUCAGUGCAACAAGGAAGGGCAGAAUAAAACAACUGAGAGACAUGUUAAGGAGAGAAGGAGCAACUGCUUGAUCCGGACAAGCUGCCCAGUCCAAAUAACAGCCAAGAGGGAUACAUAUAGGAGGAAAUGGUACCUGAAGAACGUUCGUCUAGAGCACAACCACCAGCUUGACCCAUCUGAUUGGAUGCCGAAGUUCAUGAGAUGCUAUAAGAAGAUGACACCUCAGGAGAAAUUCUUUAUACAAGUGCUGCAGAAGGCGAGGUUAGAAUCAAGGAAGGUUAUGCAGAUUUUUACUGCCAUGGGGAAACCGAAGCGAGAAAUUAUGUUCGACACGAUUGACAUAAGCAACAUUGCAUGUCGGGACAGGGCUGCAGAGCGCGGCACUGAUAUCGCAGACACCAUGAAAAUGUUUGCUGAUAUGCAGAGGCGGAGGCCGGGAUUCCACCAUGUGGAAGAGACAGAGAACAAUGUAGUGCGCAACCUGUUCUGGAUAGAUUCCUUGUUUAAGAUGAAUUAUGAUCUAUAUGGAGAUUUCGUGUCUUUUGACACCAUAUUCUCUACGAAUAUAUAUGGCUUGCCAUUUGCACCAAUUAUAGGUGUCGACAACCACGGGUCGACCGUCCUGUUUGGAGUAGGCCUUUUGAAGGAUGAGAAAAUAGGGUCAUUCAAGUGGCUCCUAAGCAUGUUUGUCGAGGCAAUGGGUGUUAAAGAGCCGAAAUACAUAAUAACAAACCAGGACCAGGCGAUGAAGACUGCAAUAAAGGAAGCUCUUCCGAGGACGAAGCACGGGUUCUGCUGGUGGCAUAUUAGGAAGAACCUGAAGGAAAAUAACGCAGCAGUGUUUGCGCAGCACCCAGGGAUUGAGAGCACGAAUUCGAUGUGGAAGAAUUACGUCGACCACAAGGACACUAUAAAAAGCGGAGAGGCGGCGGCCGGCCCCUACCCCCGUCGCCAUGGCGUGGCCAACGCGUCGCCCGUCCCCUCCGCUGUGCCGACCCGGUGCGGCGUCGCCCCGGCGCGGCCGGCCCGUCGCCUCCGCUGCGCCGGCCUGUCGCGGCCUCCUAUCACCACCUCCCCGUCGAAGCGUCCGUCCACGCCCAUUGCCCGCCGACCCCGCACUCCCACCGGACGGCCCGAGCUCUUCUCCCUUUCCUCGAGCUGGCCAUGGAGGUCGUUGACCCUACCACCGAUCGAGUUCCUGCCGUCGCGCGCGCGACCCUGUGGAUCCGGUCGACAUCGAGCAGCCACCGCCAGAUCUGAUGCGCGUGACCCCGCCGGACCUCCCUGCCUCGCCCCUCCGUGCGCGCCACCGGCCCUGCCUCGCCCAGCCACGUCGCCGGCCCUGCCUUGCCGAGGAGAAGACGAAGAUUCAAUUUCUUUUUUACAAAUUUAUGUAAGGAAAUUCCAGCUGGAGCUACGGAUCUGGAGUUACUUCAAGUGCUCUGACCUGCAAAGGGGAGGCAAUAUUUUUUUAAAAAGAUUACUGAGCCUGGAGAAAAAGUGUGGAAACCAUAUCCGGGCGAGGAAUUUGACAGGUGAUGGACCAAACAGGCAUGAUCGAUCAACUUCCAAAAUCCUUUGUCAUCCCCAGAUGGACCAGGAAUCUAUCAGAGAGUCUGAAAGUUCUGUCUACAAGUCAAGAAAAGAGAAGGCAUACCGUGUGCUGCGUGAGUGUACGGUAGAUAUGAAAAUAAAAGUCAUGGCGGCACUUGCCGAGGAACCAGACACAGGAAUUCUUGCCGAAACUCUCAAGAACCCUCCCAUGAGUGGCUCAAAGGGAGAAGAGGGCAAGGUCAAUGAAAUGGCCGACAACACCGACAACACCGUCGGGGACAUCAAACGGCUCAGGACAAUGCACUCCAAGCCCAGGAGGAAGACGUCAGACGCCAGCAACUCCAACGACCCCACUGACAGCAGGGAGCAUUUACCAAAGUCUUGCAUCUACGCCAGAAUCAAACAUCACACAAGCCAGGCACACAGAAUGCGAACAGGGAAGCCCGGGACAAGGCACGGAAUCUGCGCAGUCCAUUUUCAGAAAGGAAAGGUUGUACCGGAGAACACUAUGCAGAAGGGUGGGGUUGCACAAGGGUCGAGAAGGAAGAAUGGAUCGCUGAACAUUCAAAAACAAGGCCUCACGUGGAGCGAUGAAAUAGCAAGGAAUUGGUGGGGAGGGCGGGCGGUUGUCGAUUGUUUAUUUUCUUGUGCUGUGGUUAUAAGAACGGCUUCUGCGUCGGUUUCUGAACGUGGAUGUUUGCCUGGCAGUAGGUUCACGGCGUUUGCUGUGAGAGAAUCACGUCUUUACUUGCUACUAAAGCACGUGGAAUCACGGCCGUGCCUAACAGUGCGUCACAAUGCCAAAGGCAGGACCGUGUGUCUGGUACGUGACAAUGCCAAGCCGUAUCGUGUGUCUGCGUCCUCCACGGUCCCGACCACCCUGCUCCGUCGUGCCGCCGCUACCUACUGCUCGACGCCGCCCAGACCGCGUGCACGCCGCCGCUCGCCCGCACCACCCCUCGGCGUCGUCCUGAUGCUGCCUCGACUCGUCUUCCCCUUCUGUUGCGUUGCUCCCCGGGACGCCCCCUCGCGCGAACCCCCCGUCCUCCGCUGCUGCUGUAAUCCAUUUCUCCAGAUCCACCUCAGUGAGCACUGGUCGUGGGCGACGCCACCCCAGCAACGGAGGUGGAGAUGGAAAGCGCUGCUCGUAGCAUCAAGAGGUCGAGAGUGGCGCCACCGGCGACGCCGCUUUCUGGUGUGCAGGCCCUCCACCGUUGAUGCCUGGCUCCGAUCCUGGAAGUUGAACAAUAUCCAGGUUCUUGAGUUCUACUACCUCUUCCCAGAAUUUCUGACGCAAGAGAGUCAGGACUUGGAGGUAACCGUUGUCUCUGCGUCUGAACCGUAUCCAUGUCGUCUCACGUGUCUUGAGGGUUUGAAGGCAGUCAGUCUAACAACAAUGCGUCAAUCUGUCAAGACCUUGCUUAUCUACAUGUAUUAUAAGGUGGACACCAUCGUUGAAUUGCUGCAAUGCUUUCCAAAACUGGAGAACUUGUUUGUCGAGGUGAUGAUCUUCAGAAAUUUGCAUUCUGUAGUACUCGUUCCUUUUUGA
Molecule: ribosomal RNA, 4116 nt
Filed under: Triticum aestivum (bread wheat)
Lineage: Eukaryota; Viridiplantae; Streptophyta; Magnoliopsida; Poales; Poaceae
Description: partial small subunit ribosomal RNA
Source: RNAcentral